GACGAACGCUGGCGGCGUGCUUAACACAUGCAAGUCGAACGGAAAGGCCCUGCUUUUGUGGGGUGCUCGAGUGGCGAACGGGUGAGUAACACGUGAGUAACCUGCCCUUGACUUUGGGAUAACUUCAGGAAACUGGGGCUAAUACCGGAUAGGAGCUCCUGCUGCAUGGUGGGGGUUGGAAAGUUUCGGCGGUUGGGGAUGGACUCGCGGCUUAUCAGCUUGUUGGUGGGGUAGUGGCUUACCAAGGCUUUGACGGGUAGCCUGCCUGAGAGGGUGACCGGGCACAUUGGUACUGAGAUACGGCCCAGACUCCUACGGGAGGCAGCAGUGGGGAAUAUUGCACAAUGGGCGGAAGCCUGAUGCAGCAACGCCGCGUGCGGGAUGACGGCCUUCGGGUUGUAAACCGCUUUCGCCUGUGACGAAGCGUGAGUGACGGUAAUGGGUAAAGAAGCACCGGCUAACUACGUG
RNAcentral lists this ribosomal RNA (468 nucleotides) under uncultured bacterium. RNAcentral describes it as "partial 16S ribosomal RNA". It matches the Rfam family "Bacterial small subunit ribosomal RNA", at positions 28 to 507 of the family's 1533-position model. The record is from RNAcentral.